Hypanus sabinus (Atlantic stingray) is the source of this 7125-nucleotide long non-coding RNA. RefSeq lists it as uncharacterized. The transcript is spliced from 3 exons. The record is from RefSeq and is a predicted model, not a curated record. NCBI's taxonomy places the organism in Eukaryota, Metazoa, Chordata, Chondrichthyes, Myliobatiformes, Dasyatidae.
GUUGUUGCUGCUGGAAGGAACACAAAUUCUUUCUUCCUUCAAACCAGUCUGCGAGAAGCUGCAAACUGUGGGUUCUUCAUUCGGUAAAGGCGUGAAAGGCCAUGACAUUAUCCAAUACUUAAACUAUUGUUCUUUACAGCUAAACUCUUGGUGCCGAUGCCUACAAAUGGGUCUCAAAUGACGGACAUAGAUAGUUCACUUAGAGAAUUCACUUCUUCUGAACGGGCUGGUCGAAGGGAUGCAUUACCUGACAUUACAGAUUUACAGGAGCCUUCAAGGGACAACGUGGUCAAAAGCAGUUUAACUGUAAACAUGACAAAGCUUACAAUCAAAUCUGAAGAACGCAUUGAAGAUACAAAGCCUGUUACAGAAGCUCAGGCUCCUUGUCAAGUAGAGAACCAGGAGACAUCGUCUCAGUGCGAGGAUGGUUGUGAAAACCAAUGACGAAUGUAUAUCUGGUUUUGAUCAUCCACGAGCUAAGAAUUUCUCAGAAUAUAACUCAUUUCAAUACCAAAAGGAUAUUUGGAGGAGUUGUGGAAUUCAAAGGAAAUGGUGCAUUUGAUUUAUUGACACCAAUUAGCAUUUUUGAUUUAUGUUCUAAACACUGAUAUAUUUUACUGUAGCUAAGGUACAUGAUAACUGGUUUCUGUAGAUUAAAAAUAAAAUUGAAGUUGUUGCAUUUAAUUGAAUAACAUUUAAUACCUAUACAGAUUAUUUGAUUCCUUUCAGAUCUCUUGAUACGUUAAAACCAGACAUUAAUUUGUAAGAAAUUUGGAAAAAUAUUAUCAGACUCUUUAUUAUAUCAUCAAUUGGGGACCAGAACUCCACAAAAAAUUAUUUGCAGAUAUUCCACAGUGUGAUGUAAGUCUUCUUUAAAAAAUAGCACAUGGUAUUUUAUAGUCAAAGGUUAUACAGAUGCCAUCAGUCAUUUGCCCAUUUCUGGGUAUUUGCAAUGGAACUUGCUAUGAACAGGUAACCACUUUGGAGCAGUAAAUUCUAUAAUGGAUUUAGAAGCCGUGAACAGAGAAAACAACUGAAUUUCUUCCUGACCAGUCAUUUGUAGAAUUGUUAGUGAACAUGAGAGCCUGAGCCAGGAAAUACACAUUAGAAUCAUUUACUCAAUAAUAUGUACAGAUAACGGGACAGACUGAAAGAAAGGUAGUAUGGAAAGAGGAAUGUAAGUGAGACAGAGUACACCAAUUUCAUGCUUAUUGUAAUUUAAUGCCACAUGUUUAGAUGGUUGUAUAAAAAAUUCUAGAGGAGCAGGGUAACUCCACAUGCUAUCUCCUAAUUACUGCAUGUAACUAAACGUGUAAGGUAACAAGAUAUUAAUAAUAAGUACAAAAACCAGCAAAAUCCAGUGUCCACUAGCUUGCAAAAACAUAAGGCAAAUUAGUUCCUUUAUAUACAAGGUGUCUGAUAUUCUAGACAUUUUAAAUUUCACCUGGUAUACUUGUAUGAAAAUCAAUAAAUGCAGUUUAGGUUCAAAAGUCUUAAUCUACGCAUAGUGUACAACAAGUUCAUUACAUUAGCACAUGGUUAAAUUGAAUGCAAGCCCUUCCACAGCUGGUUGCUGAUCAAUUGGUCUGCUUGCAAAAGAUUUUAUUCUCUCAUUGAAGAAGUGGAUUUCUUUAUUCUGAGGCCUGUUCGGUUUGUACAUCAAAGAUUUCAAUAUAAAAACUGAAGGAACUGGUUGGAAAAAAUAACAAAAUCAAAGACACAUUUUAAUCCUUCAGGUGUCCAAAGGUAUAUUAUUGAGAGGUAGGAAUAGACUUAAGAAGUUGGAAUUCAACAUAAAUAAGUACAAAGUGAUGCAUUUUGGUUGGGCAACAAUUAAAAAGAUUCUUCCUGGAAUGGAAGUACAUUCAGUGGUUUGGAAAAAUACAUUUGGAGCAAUAAAGAGAGCCUUCUUAAUUAUUUAGUAUGUUUUUUUAGAAAGGGGAUUUUGGGGUUUUAUGAUACUAAAUAUCCAAGAUAAAAUUGUGACCCUAACUUUUUAAAGAGAGAGAGGGUAGUGCAGUACAGAUACAGGCCCUUUGGCUAAUCAAUCCACACCAAACAUCAAACACUUAUUUUUACACAAGUCCUACCCUGUCCUAUUUAUUUCUCCUCAUAUCCCUUUGUUGCUUUACACUCUUCACCAGGGGAAUUCUUGUUCUGAGUUCCUGAACUUGUAUGUUGUACAUUCAAAAACACAAAAAUAUCCCAAUUCACUUCAUUGGUGCAUUAACAAAUAAAAAAAAUGACAUUGAUAUUAUAAGGAAAUUAUUAAGAAAGAGGACUAAAUGAAUGAUUAAAGCAUGGGUUUGAAGGACUUUCCUGAAUUGAAUAUGAGAAAAAUUCAGUUUAGGCCAUUUGCUAGUCAAAGGGCUGUCACCAAUAAUAAUGCGACUAAAUUUUAGAUAAGUUCAAGAGAGCAGAAUUGGAGGAGCGCAGAUGUCUCUGACAGAGCUGUGGGGGGGGGGGAGAUUAUACAUACAGAGGGGUACAACUCAUAAGGACUUUAAAACAAGGAUGAAAAUUUUAAGUUGAUGCAUAAUUGGGAGCCAGGAUCAAUCAUCAAGUACAGGAGAAAUGGUUGGAUCAGAUUUGAUGUGAGUUUGAGUAUAAGCAGCAGAGAGAACCAGCUGGAUUAGUUUGGUCAAAGCUAACAAAAUCAUAGAUGAAGGCAUCAGAGGCAGAUGAGUCAAGGCAGGGACAGUGAAUAUGUGAUAAUCAGAAUUAGGCUUAGGUGCAAAUCUCGGGAUUAAAUGGGAUGAUAGGGUCAUGAACAGUACGUACCGUUUCUGAAUAAAGGCCAUGCCAUCGUGUACCUGAGGAAAGAGGAUUCAGAUGAUCUAAGGUUCUGGGAUCAGUCUUUCCAAUGCUUAGUCAUUUGGAUUAGUGCUUGGUCCAUGUCCACAUUCAUUUGGAAGGAAUUUUGUCCAGUGUUUUCAGAGGAUGAUGUCAGCAUCAGAGCUUAAUUAGAUAGGACAUUGUUUACCAAAAAUCAGUGGAAAUACUGUUUAUGGAGCAUGAUUGAAGUUUUUAUCAAGAUAAUAGCAGGAAAUUGGGGUGAACACUGUGGACAUUAGCAAAGUGUUCAGUGGAGAAUCAGACUACUGUUUAUGCCUGAUAGGUGAAAAUUCAAGGCACUAAUCUGCCACCUUGAAUGUCUUGAACUGGUUUAAGUACGUAGCAAGUAGCAAUAUCUUUCUGUGGCAAUUUGUGCUUUUAUCCAUUAGACAACAAAAUCACUUAAAAAUGUCAGGUUCCUAGAGGGUUACUCUGGAGAAAUUUAGAAUGAGUGUCCAAGGAGGCAAAACUAAAUGUGGAAGACUUAGUACACAGUAAGAAUCCUGUUGCACAAAAUGUCAAACCUUAAAUUCCUUUCCAUCAUAAACAAUAUCAAGUUAGUCAGCAAUUUCUUUAUAGCUUUCACUGAGGGGAUGAUUCUUAAACAUUGUACCAGAAACUCUAAUUAGCAGUUGUGAAAUGUGGAUUUCCUCUGUACUUUUACCAAUGUCAUGCGUAAGAAUAGUUCUGUGGUAACGCUAGGCUGCUGCUAACAUGGUGGAUGAAUGAGAAGGUAUAAAAACAUGGGGAGAAUUCGAUUAUGCCUUUAUAUAUUUAAUUGCAUUAUUUAAACUGAGAAGUUCUGUGAGCAGAUUAUUUAUCCCUUGAAAAGCUGUUCUGAAAUUUAGUGAAGUCACUACUGACCAUGACUAAAAACUCAUAAACCUGCCUUUGUCACAUAUUCCUUAAUAUCUUAGUGAUAGUUAACAAAUUUCACAACAUAUGCCAGUGAUAAUAAACCUGAUUUAGAUUCUGAUAGUAUAUUAGUGUCAGUCUUAUAAUUAACGAUCCACCAAACAAGCUCUUUGCAGGAGAAACUAUUCCCAUCACUCCUGAAUGACACAGCACUCCUUUAAUUUUAUUUCCCAUUCCCAGCUGCUAUAACCAAUUGAAGAUGGAGAAAUACCACUGGUUUCCUGUAAUAUCUUGAAAAUAUAAUCUGACUAAUUAGCCAUCAUUAAACAUCAAAAUUUCAGGGAACAUAAGCCUAUUUUGCUUUCAUAUUUCCUUAUAACAUAGAGAGUCACUUCGGCCCAUCAAAUUCAUGCUGGUCUACAAAGCAAUCCUUUUCCCCCCCACUAAUAUUCCAAGUACAAGUUUCCAGGCUAUAACAGGGUUCAGUUUCCAAUAACUCUUUAGAUAGGUAGAUAGAUAUGUUAUUGAUUCCAAAGGAAGUUCCGGUGUCACAGUAGCAUUACAAGUUCAAAGAUGUACAAUAUUAGAAGAGAAGAAGAAUAAAUAAAAAAAUAAGUUACCUUACACAGGAGGGCUUCAUCACUCUGCCUAUAGGUUGAUUCAUUAUAGAGUCUUAUGGCCAAGGGUAAGGAUGACCUCAUAUACCACUCUUUGGAGCAGUGCAGUUGUCAGCCUAUUAGUGAAAUUGCCCCUCUGUUCUGCCAAGUUAACAGGCAAAGGGUGAGAAACAUUGUCCAGAAUUGCCAGGGUUUUCCAUAGGGUCCUUUGUUCUACCACAGCCUCCAGUGUGUCCAGUUUGACUCCUAUAACAGAGCCAGCCUUCCUAAUCAGUUUAUUGAGUCUGUUGGCAUCACCCGUGUUGGUGCCAUUGCCCCAGUAUACCACCACAGAGAAGAUUGUACUGGCAAAAACAGACAGGUAGAACGUUUGAAGAAGAGGCCUGCAUACUCCAAAGGACCUCAGUCUCCUCAGGAAGUAGAGGCAGAAAUGUCAAGAAAUCAACAACAAAAAAGCUUGUGGGAGAGGGUCACAGAAAGUGACUGUGACAGGACAGUGAGCCGUCUCACUGACGUGAGUAAGCCUGUGAAACAGCUCAGCACUCCCAAUUCUGUUUGCCUUAACCGAGCUCGCAAUUGCUGUGCGAGGCUGAGGGGAGAAGACAAGUGGAAAUACACCAUUUACACCUGGUAGAAGGUACCUGCAGCCUCGCAGCAGCCAGCAAAUCCAUCCACCCAGCCUCCCAGAUGCUCACUCUUUUGUAUGAACUGUCUACAAGUCGGGAGUUUGUAAUCUGGAGAGGACAUGUAACUUAUCCACAUUCUCAUUAAUUUUGCCUCCCCUCCCCCCCAAAUUCACUCACUAAACUACCCACUAGGGACAACUUAGUAGUCAAUUUGCUUAACAACCUGCAUAACUGGAGGAUAGGAGAGCUCCAGGAAGAAACUCCUCGCAUUAUAGAGAGAAAGCACGUACUGACAGAACCAGGGGGUCAGGGUUGAAUCUUGGUCACUGAACCAAUGGGGCAGUAGCUCUGCUAGCUUUAUCACCUUUGUGUAAUCCAGCCGUACAAUUAAUCAUUUAGGAUCAAAGUAUAAUUCCACAUCAUCUACACACUAAGCCUCUGGAUGUCUUGUUGCUCUUCGAGGGAGCAGGAUCCAGGAAUGCUCUAUCUUUCAGGUAUGAUCCAACCUGGUCUUUGUUAAUGUGCAGCAUAAUAUCUAUUACGUUAUUAUCCUUUAAAUAUAUAGGACAGUAUAACUAACAUUUCAGGUAUUUUCUAUAUUUGUGCACGUUAUUUUACAGAUCCUUGUGAAGAUGCUACUAAAUCCCUUCUGGAGCAUCUCCAUAUCUAGGUUUUUGCUUAGAAUUUCUGUUUUAUCCUUGUGUCCUUGUACUUGUGUAUAAGAUGGAGAGGCACUGAUCAUGUGGAUAGGCAGAGAAAUGGCUAACAUGAGAGGGCACAGUUUUAAGGUGCUUGGAAGUAGGUUCAGAGGAGAUGUCAGAGUUAAGUUUUUUACGCAGAGAGUGGUGAGUGUGUGGAAUGGGCUGCUGGCAACGGUGGUGGAGAUGGAUACGAUAGGAUCUUUUCAGAGACUCCUGGAUAGGUACAUGGAGCUCAGAAAAAUAGAGGGCUAUGGGUAACCCCAUGUAAUUUCAUGUUCGGCAUAGCAUUGUGGGCCAAAGGGCCUAUAUUGUUCCGUAGGUUUUCUAUGUUACCUCUAUUGAAAUCUACUUGCAACAGUUAUGCCCACUGGCCUAUCUAUUGAUAUCCCUUUGUAAUCCUCUGCUUCCACAUACUCCGUUUAUAAUGCUACCAAUCAAUGUUAUUGAGGAGUUUUCUAGCUCAUCAUCUGUUUACAAUUGUUGAGAUUAGUUCAGGCCCAUUAAUCAUGCAGUAACAGGAUACCAUUAAUCAUGUAAUACUAGUAAAGCAUCAACUCUGUCACUAAUCUGUCCCUUGGUAUUUGGCCAGUUUCCUGAUGACUGCUACAACAAAAAUAUGCAUUCUACACAGAACGAAAUGCCAUAAGGAUGUGUUGUUAUAUUUUCUUCCAAUGGAAUUCUACACAGGAAACAGUAUUGCAAAACUAUAAUCAUUCAUUGUCACUUUGGUAAUCUUUUCAAGUACACUAAGCAUAAAAUUACUUGCAUUAAGUUCACUAUUACAUUUACGGUUCAUAUUUAACAAUCUCUCGAGGACCACAUUUAUAUGCAUCGUACUUCAGUACUUCCUUGCUGCACAAUGGCAUGACAAUAAUUUAUUAGAUCUUUUUAACCCUGAUUAAGUUGGAGCAUUGCCAUCCUAUAUACAUUUGUAGAGCUGUCUGGUACAUGUGGACUAUUUUGUUCUAAACAGCUACAGAGGCGGUGUUUAAAUUUUUAUUCACAAUUAAAGGAUAGCUUUAUUAUGUUCUAGUGUACAUUCAAGUUAUUUUGUCUAAACAGCUCUAGAAGCAGAAUCUAAAUUAAUAUUCACCAUUAAAGGAUAACUUUAUUCUGUUCUACAGCAUAUAGUCAAGUUCUAUAUUCUCAAUGUAUAAAAUUAAAUGUUCCUGUUUAAGGCUUUGCAUGGAAUAAUAAGAGUAUUUCAGUUUGUGGAUUUUUAAACUGAUAAACCAAGUCUAAAAAUGACACUUAUUAAUAAAGCUAUUCAUAAAAUGCAUACAUUUAGUAAUUAAACAGAAAUAUUGGGAACUUGAGAAUCCCAUUAAUAACUGUUUAUUUAUUCUUCAUUGUUAAGUAAUGUGAAUUGAAAAAGUACUCAACUAUUGAUGAAAGAGGCAUUGCUAUAUCUUCCUGCUUAAAGCAAUUUAUGUAAAUAUGCCUGCCAUUUAAUAAAGUUAUUUAUACAAUUUGUUUUGAAAAUACUAUUUA